AGGUUCAUUACUAUCAUGAUUAAAAAGGGAAAGCGGUGUAAUUCCGCUACUGUCCCGCAGCUGUAAGUUGUCUCUCAUUGGUAAGCUGAUACCACUGGUGAAUAUAAAACUGGGAAGGUGCUUACCUACAUUGGAUAACAAGUCAGAAGACCUGCCAUUGCAAG
This 164-nucleotide non-coding RNA is filed under the name Prevotella melaninogenica. Lineage: Bacteria; Pseudomonadati; Bacteroidota; Bacteroidia; Bacteroidales; Prevotellaceae. The record is from RNAcentral.